AGUGCGAGGGCAUAUCGUCCUCGCUUUUGUGUACCGUAGGGUGGUACACCAACAAGGGCUGGGCAAGACCGGUGCCAGCCGCCGCGGUAAUACCGGCAGCCCGAGUGAUGGCCGAUCUUAUUGGGCCUAAAGCGUCCGUAGCUGUUGAGCAGGUCCGUCGGGAAAUCCAGCUGCUCAACGAGUGGGUGUCCGGCGGAAACCAC
RNAcentral lists this ribosomal RNA (203 nucleotides) under unidentified. Its description in RNAcentral is "16S ribosomal RNA". It matches the Rfam family "Archaeal small subunit ribosomal RNA", at positions 384 to 587 of the family's 1478-position model. The record is from RNAcentral.